AAGACUAUGUAAGGCUUGUAUGCUACAGCAAGGAGCUUGAAUAUUACAUCGAGUACAGUAGGCAGCCAUUAGAAUGUUUUAAGCGGGAAUGAAUAUGAUCUGAUUCAUAUUUUGUAAGGAUUGACUUGACAGUGAGGUCAAGAAUGGAUUACAGGGUGACCAAAGAGGAAGCAGGACCAUUAGAUAAGAGGCUAAAGACUAGCUUAGGUGAUAGAAGUGGCUCAUUUGGAGAAAUCCUGUAGUGGCCCUAAUGGAAUAAGGGCAGCCUACCGGCCUCUACAAGGGAUAAGGAGUAUGAGUGAUCACCAGGAGCCAAGGAGUUUGAAACGGAGCCCAGCGGAGUGGGCCGGGGGAAUCCAGCACGUCUACCGCGGGCAGAUAAGUGUCCUCCACACCCCGGCCAUAGGCAGAAGAACGUGGCCGGCUGCUGCGGCACCCUACUAGGUCCUCGCCCACCUCUUUCUCGGGAAGGGACGUACCUGGCCAGCAAGGGAGGAGCGCACUCGAUUCAGCUUUUAGGGGAAAACCCACUUCUCAAACCCCAUUCCUUUUCGGCACGGCCGAGCCCCAGGGGCCGUUACCUGACCCGCUCCUCCGGCGACCUUUCGCCAGGCUGGCCCUGCCCGACCCGGCCCAAGGCCAAAAGGCCGCGCUCCCGGGGAAGGCGUGCGCUCGGCCGCGGACGCCCAAGCCUCCCUGGCCCCGACCCCGCCACGGCCUCUCCAGCCGCGAGCCGGGAACCGGGAGCCCAGAGCCCCGCGUCCCGCGCCUGUGGCGGGCCGGCGGGCGGCGCCGGCUCCCGCCCGCCUCAGCCCCUCGCCGCGCCCCCCCCCCACCACGCACCUCAAAGCCCCGCCUCCUGCCGUCCAUCCCUCCAUCCCUCCUCCAUCCACCUCCUCCCCACUGCGGCGCCAGCUUCACCUGCCUCAGCCCGCCGCCGCCGCCGCCGCCGCCGCCGCCCAGCCGUUCCUUCCCUCGGGACCGUGCCGCGCCACGACCCCAGAGCGGCGCCCCCCGCCCCACAGCCCCGCGCUUGUCCCGGACGCGCCCUCUCCUUCUCCUUCACCUGCCCCCGCCCCGAACCUCUACCUUGUAGGAGUCGGUGGCCAGGAGGAUGUUGAACUCGGCGUCUGCCGCAGCAUUCAUCUCGGGCGGAGUGUGAGGGCCACGCGCCGCGAGGUGCCCGGCGCGGCGGCGAGGAAGGAGAAAAAUGGGCUUCACCGCGCUCCGUUGCUUAAGUCACCGCUCGGUCGGAGGGGCGGGGGAGAGGAGGGAGAAGGGGAGUGGGGAGGAGGGGCCACAGAAGGGCGGGCCCGGGAGCAGUGACGCGGCGUGGGGGUGGUGGCGCCGGUAGCUCUCGAGAUCUCAGCCCAGGGACUCCGACCGACUCCUCACCUCGGCUCCCCGCCCCCACCCCCGCCCCAUUACCCCGGAGGGGACGCGAGGGGCGGGGCACGGCCGCGCGUGCGCAGCGCGUGAGGGGGCGGGGCUGGGGGGGAGAGGACGUGAGGCACGCGCUCUUUCUCCGGGACGCCAGCUCCGGGAAAGUGGAGGCUUCCGGGCAGUCCCGGUGUGGGACCCGCGUCCCUGCGUUGAUUUCAUUUCCCGGCACCGCUGAACGGAGAGCGGCGGGAGGGGGAAUUCCCAGCCUCGCCCCUCCUGCGAUUAGCGGGUUCGUCCGCCUGGCUGACACCUUCCUGUCCUACCCUGUCCUGGCUCAUUUUCUGAGUCCUGAAGUCACGCCACCCGGCUGGGGGCCGUGAAGCCUUCCUCUGCCGGUCUCCCCAUCCCCCUCCCGCAGUUACUCACCUUUGUCUCCGGCUGGGACUGGGGAUCGAACCUUUUGCUUGCAUCCCUCUUGUCCCUCCAGGUCCUCCCAAGCCUCUCUUUAAAAUCCGAAGAGCGGCGAUGAGGAAGGUCUGAGGGGUCCCUUUGCUCUGCAUCGACUCCGCUUUCCUCUGCCUGUGUUGCUGAGCUCUUGGAUCCUUUGAGUGAUGUUUUGACUUUUUUCCGCAGAAAAUAGUCUGCACGUGAAGGCGGGCAUUGAAUUCAGUCCUCCCAAAUAAUGAAAGUACGAGGCCUAAUUGAAUCUAACAGUGCCUAGAAGUAAACGGCAACGGGCCAAGUUGUGACACGGUGCAAAACUGAUUUCAUCAUUGCUUUAGUUGUUAAAUUUUGGGAAAUGAUUUGGUAACCUCCAAAAAAGAAGCAAGGGAUACGACGUCGGAUGACUUCACCGAAGUGUAGACGAUCCACUUACGCAAUUCUCAUACGUGAUUGUAGUUUUGCGUAAAAUUAAGAUUUCCUUUGUCCACAUGAUCAGCAGCUGCUGCUGCCUUUUAAAAAAAUUUUUUAUUCCAAGAUUUAGGUUUUACAAGAUACAAGUAGCGGGGCGGAAAACGGAUCAAUGAAAACAGGCAUAGGAACUCUAUAGACUAUUUUAAAAUUAAAAGUUGGUAAAAAUCUCACUUUAUCGGGGAGUGGGGGGUGGUGUGGGAUGGGAAGGGGGACGCUGUGAAUUGAGAGAUUCAUCACAACAAAACGGAGACCUCCAGUUAAAAGCAACUUGGGUCCCGACUGUGGUCUUGGAAUAAGUGCAGAUUCUUGACAGUCGCCUCCAUCUAUAGAGUCCAUACAGGCAAAGAUCACGGAAGUGGUGAGAUACCAAGUUAGUAAUAAUAAACUCACCAAGGUAUAAAUAAUAAUACAUUUAGAAUAAGAAUUUUCAGCCAAAAGUUUGAAAACAGAAGAGGCUUUUUCCCCCCUUUUUGGUUAUUUUUUAAAACAAGUAGGUAAAUUACUUAAUUUUUUUUUUAUUUUGGCAAAUUUUAUUAAGUCAAGCAGUGUGAUUCAAAGAAGGAGGAUGAUCCUUUAUGCCUCUCUUGAUUUGGUGUUUUCUUUCUUCAUUUAAAAUUUCCAUAACCUACCUUACUUAAAUGACAGAUUUUUUUGGCUUAGCUUCCUGGAAUCCAUGUAUGUAUAACUGACCAUUGUUUAUGCUGCCUUAUUCAGGAAAAAAAAUUGGGUCCUGAUUACAAAAUGGGCUUUGUUUAUGGUAGGAUUUUCUUUAAAGCAAAAUAAAAUUUGAUCUUGCAGUCUUUGA
This is a long non-coding RNA of Lutra lutra (Eurasian river otter), 3103 nucleotides long. RefSeq lists it as uncharacterized. Lineage: Eukaryota; Metazoa; Chordata; Mammalia; Carnivora; Mustelidae. The record is from RefSeq and is a predicted model, not a curated record. The transcript is spliced from 2 exons.